RNAcentral lists this ribosomal RNA (377 nucleotides) under uncultured bacterium. Its description in RNAcentral is "partial 16S ribosomal RNA". It matches the Rfam family "Bacterial small subunit ribosomal RNA", at positions 338 to 732 of the family's 1533-position model. The record is from RNAcentral.
CCUACGGGUGGCAGCAGUGAGGAAUAUUGGUCAAUGGGGGAAACCCUGACCCAGCCACGCCGCGUGAGUGAAGAAGUUUCUCGGUAUGUAAAGCUCUUUCGGCAGGGAAGAAAAUGACGGUACCUGAGUAAGAAGCCCCGGCUAACUACGUGCCAGCAGCCGCGGUAAUACGCAGGGGGCAAGCGUUUUACGGAUUUACUGGGUGUAAAGGGGGUGUAGGCGGGAUAAUAAGUGAGGCGUGAAAUUCCGGGGCUUAACCUCGGAACUGCUGUUGAAACUGUUAGACUUGAGUGAAGGAGAGGUAAGCGGAAUUCCUAGUGUAGAGGUGAAAUGCGUAGAUAUUAGGAGGAACACCGGUGGCGAAGGCGGCUUACUGG